UCCUCUGCAUGAAUGCCUGAGUAGAUUUGGAGCGGUGUUUUGGAUCAUUGUCUUGUUAAAAUAUCCAUCCCCGGCAUAACUUCAACUUUGUAACUGAUUCUUGAACAUUAUUCUCAAGAAUCUGCUCAUAUUGAAUGAAAUCCAGGCGACCCUCAACUUUAACAAGAUUCCCAGUGCCGGCAUUGGCCACACAGCCCCAAAGCAUGAUGGAACCUCCACCAAAUUUUACAGUGGGUAGCAAGUGUUUUUCUUGGAAUGCUGUGGGUUGCAGAAAAGUCUUCUGUCGCAUCACUCUCCCAAACAGCUUCUCCUUGUGCAAAGUGCGCUGAAUUGUUUAACGAUGCACAGUGACACCAUCUGCAGCCAGAUGUUGCUGCAGGUCUUUGGAGGUGGUCUGUGGGUUGAUAGUUCUCACCAUUCUUGUUCUCUGCCUCUCUGAUAUUUUUCUUGGCCUGCCACUUCUGGGCUUAACAAGAACUGUCCCUGUGUUCUUCCAUUUCCUUACUAUGUUCCUCAAAGUGGAAACUGACAGUUUAAAUCUCUGAGACAACUUUUUGUAUCCUUCUCCUAAACAACUAUGUUAAAAAAUCUGUUUUCAGAUCAUUUGAGAGUUGUUUUGAGGUGCCUAUGAUGCCACUCUUCAGAGGAGAUUCAAACAGGAGAACAAUUUGCAAUAGGCCACCUUAAAUACCUUUUCUCAUGAUUGGCUACAUCUGGCUAUGAAGUUAAAAUCUUAAUGAAGUUACCAAACCAAUUUUGUGUUUCAGUAAGUCAGUGAAAAGUUAUUAAUGGUAUUCAAAUCAAUAAAAUGAUAAGGGUACCCAAAUUUUUGCACUUGUUGUUACGGCCAAUGGCCUUGUAUGUUUCCUUUGUCUCUUUCUUUUCUGUAUAUCUGCAGCUUCCUAAUUAAAUGAACUCCAUUGGGAACUGGCUGCAGCCCUAAUCCUCCUGUGCCACUCCCUGAGGUCUACAGCAGAUCUGAUUGGCUCACCAAUUAUCAGCUCCACCAAUCCCUGAUGAGGCCUCCCUUUUUAAACCCAAGACUUCCUGGGAGAAGGUGCGGCUGAUUCUUUACUGAGACAGCUUGCCACUUUGCUGGGUGUUUGUUGACUGCUGUAUACUGCAUUGUCUUUUUGUUAGCUUUUGUAAAUCUUUGUUACCUGUGAUAGUCCCUGUGGGGGGUUUGUAUGUAAGCUUAUAGUAGCCUACUAGAGUUUUGUUGUUAGUCUUAGGUUUUGGUCCUGUUUUGUUUGGUUAAGAUCUUUGGUUUCCAACUCUGGUUGUUUUGUGGACAUUGUUUUAUUCAGUGUUUUUCUUUUUGGUUAUAACACCUUACCUUUUGACUGUAGGUUUUUUUUUUACCUUUUAUUUUGUUAAACCCAAACAAUAAAUUCCAAACUGAUAAACCUUAA
This is a long non-coding RNA of Xiphophorus hellerii (green swordtail), 1412 nucleotides long. RefSeq lists it as uncharacterized. The transcript is spliced from 2 exons. The record is from RefSeq and is a predicted model, not a curated record. NCBI's taxonomy places the organism in Eukaryota, Metazoa, Chordata, Actinopteri, Cyprinodontiformes, Poeciliidae.